RNAcentral lists this ribosomal RNA (678 nucleotides) under Triticum aestivum (bread wheat). Its description in RNAcentral is "partial small subunit ribosomal RNA". The record is from RNAcentral. Lineage: Eukaryota; Viridiplantae; Streptophyta; Magnoliopsida; Poales; Poaceae.
AUGAGGUUAAUGUGCUCACCGAUAAGGUUCGCGCAAAUGAUUGAUGGAUUAGAUGACGAGCACCUAAAGGCCAUCUGCACUCAAACCGGUCUUGGAGGGCUAACAAAGAUGAAGUCAGUGUCUCUCCGAUGUAUUAUGUUGGUGCUGCUAGCGAAGAGCUACAUCGACGACAUGCAGAGUAUUCACAUUGCUGGUAAGGACAUUUCUAUAACUCCAACGGAUGUCUAUCAAUUAAUGGACCUUCCAAUAGAGGGGAAAAAUAUAUAUAUGGAAAUGGGAAAACCAAAAGACGCAAACCUGUUAAGGGCUUAUCAAACAGAUGGAAGACUUAAGCUGAGUGACCUCGAGGACAAAAUUAAAGCCUCCAAAACUCCAGAUGAUCAUUUCAUCAGGCGGUUUGUUUUGUAUGUUAUUGGCAUUAUUUUAGCACCCACGGUACAAGAUUAUGUCGACUCCAAAUAUUUCGUCCUUGUUGAAGACGUCGCAAGAAUUCCCAAUUUUAACUGGGGAUGUUUCACACUGGACCAUUUGAUAACAUCCAUCAAUACUUUUAAUUAUAAGGAUCAAUUCAAUCUACAAGGAAAUAUAGCUUUGCUCCAAUUUUGGUAUUGGGAACAUGUUCGUGCUGGAUCGAUUUUGUAUUCUCGUAUACCCCGUCCGCUGAUGGCACCGUGGGAU